CGUGCAGGAGGAUUUGCACAAUCAGCUCGGGCGGUCCGCACCCAAUCACCGGUGUCUCGCGGCUCUCGCCCCACCCCAGCCACCAAACGAGGAACCCUAGCCUCCUGUCUCCUUCCCCUCGAUCCCCACGAGCCGCUGCACCCCUCCCUCUCCCUUCCGUGCGUGUGCUCGGCCAACGACGCCGCCGUCGCCCUCGGCUCCUCCUCCACCACCUCGCCUUUUUCUCCUCCUUGCCUUCCCAUCGCUCGCGCGCAUGUCGCCACCGUCGGAGAACAGGACAGUGUGAGUCGCUUCCUCCUUUUCCUCCCGCCGGAUCUAAGGCGUGCGGCCGUGGAGGCGAGCCUCUCCGGUGGCGGCGGCAAAGGGUGACCACAUGGAUCGGUCCCUGCAGGAGAGAGAAGAUGGGAGAGAGGGAGAGAAGGAAGGAGAGGAGGGAGGCCCGGCGGCGGACGGGAGAGGGUCACCGACCGGCGCUGGCGAGGUCAGGUGCGACCUGGUGGUUGGUGGCGGCUCGAUCCACUCCUGGAUCCUUCUUCUUCCACUUCCCCACUGCCUAACACCUAGGAAGAGGGCUGGCCGAGGAAGAGGGCGAGGACGCGGGGAUUGAAGAGGGUGUUCCUGCGUUCAUCGCCUGGCCAAGGACGAGGACGACGAGGUGGGGUGGAGCUUGUCAUCCCUCUGGUUAUCACCUUCCUUUCUGCUACUGGGCUGAGAUGAGGGUUUUCUCCAUCGAUUGUGGUGGCCUGAGUCAGAGAUCGACAGCCAGAUGCUUGUGGCUACCACACAAAACGUGCUCUCUUGCUGACCUCGAGGUCCAGACGCAAUGGAUUGUCUCCAAGGUGUUUCUCCGACCAGCAACAACAAAACUCCACACUUUCUCAAUUGCGCUGUGAUUGGUUCAUGUCCACCAAGGCCGUUGCAUUGGUCGUGGUACUCGGCUUCCUUUGGGUUUGCUUGCUGUCGAGGAAGAAGAAAGGUGUGAACUAUGUGAAAAUGGACAAACCCACUGCCCCAGAUGGUAAUGAAAAAACUGACACCAACUAGCUCACUCUAUAAAUUUUGUAUAGGCUAAAGCUAACUACGUAUCUGCACCACGAUUGCUCGCUGGGGAUAUAGAUGUAUUCCUAACAUCAGGUUAUUACCACACCAUAGCAGCUGCUCGCUGGGAAUAUAGAUAUAUAUUUCAUUUUGCAGGUUUGAAACAAGCUGGUUCCUUUAUAUGAAAUUGUUUAUUCAUGAUUUGUUAAUGUAGAAAUCAUUUCAUUAAUAGUUUUGUAUGGUCCGUGUGAUUCAUGCUGCAAUGAUUUUCUUCACUCGGUUAAUCGUGUAGUAAUUAGACGGUGUAGUACUAUGGCGGUGGUAUACUGAUAUCGUGUAGUAAUCGAUGCUCUGUUCAUGGCUUUUUUCUUAUUUUAUCCUUCUUUGCUUUUUUUCCUUUCCUGCAAGAAGAUGUCGAGUCAUGUAAUAUGUUCAAAGAAGAGAGAAUCUGCAUUUUAUGAAUCCUUUCUUCUUUCUUCAUUGUUACUUCAAGUUAGUGAAUUCAUUUAAGUUGUAUUGAGCAGCUUCAUGUGCAUGGUGUCUUCAUCUACACAUCUUAUUCAGUCACGAGGCCAGUAAGAUCUUUUGCCUUUUAGAAAAAGGGAGAUGCCAUUUAGACCUUACUCUUCCAACUUGAUCUUUAACAUGCUAGCAUUUUCCCAAGCAUUUUUUAUUUGCUUCAGAGAAUGAGCUCACCUUAUUCAGUGGAUGUGCCAAGUAAAAAAAUUAGAAACUGAACAAUUAGUUCCACUCUUAAAUUUUGUACAACGGUCCAAAUUAUCCAAUAAAUCAUUUGUUAGCAGGGUCUAAUUAUAGAAGUUGAACCAGUUGUUCCAAAUUACAAUGUGUGACUUAUUCCAUUUGUUUAUCCUUUUGUCCUUUUAAUCAAGAACAAUGUUUAGAGCUUACAUGGUUGUCCAAAUUUAGUUCUGUAAAAGAGGACUAUUGAUAUCAUGCAAUGAUCAGUGCAGAUUAGGAUAGUUAUAGAGUUCUUCCUCAGUUUUCAUUGAGCAAAGAUUGAAUCUGUAUGAUUUUUUCUAAUACCAAGUAAAUCUUGGUCUGCAUUCUGUUAGUUUUCCUACUGAGUUUUUUUUGGCUAUUUUCAUUUAAAUUGGUAGCUGAUGUGAAAAAGUAUGUGUUGACAUGCAUGUAACCAAAUCAUGAAUUAAUGUGAGAUACUACAUAUACUUGCCUAUCUCUUUCCAGAAGCACAACCCUCUUGAUCCAACUAGGAACAUCAAAACCAAAUGGGAAAUCAUUGAGUGGACUUCAGAUGUCCAUGCUUACGACAAGGAGGCAGGGUGGGGGGGGGGGUCGGCCAUGGAGGGAGGCUCGCCGGCCGGAGCAGCAGGAACAAGGAGGCGGGGUCGGCUGUGGAAGGGAGGCUAGCCGGCCGGAGCAGCAGGAGCAAGGAGGCGGGGUCGACCGUGGCAACUGGAACAGCUGCUGGUUAGCCUGACACACUGCCUCAGCCAUGUCUCCUCUAAUGCAGCCCAGACGCUCAAGAGAGGUAGUUGUGCCGUCACUGGUGGCGAGUUCAGCGGCCGCCCCCUCCUCUUCUCUUCGAACCCAGCCCUCUCUUGAGUGUGUCGUGCCCUCUACUACGGUAAAGCACCAGGUCCACGUGAGCUCCUCCUUCAACCCGCGUAUGUGAUUUCUUCCUUUUCCAUGAAUGCACACAUCUAAAGCGUUUUUUUGGGUUCCCUCAUCUAAAUUUCUUCUGAAGUGUGCAGAUUGUUAUUCAUUAUCUGGGAGGACACUAUUCUUUUCAAGGACUCAUUAGUCACAGAAUAUUUAGCUGGCAAGAUACAAAUUUUAUGAUUCAUCCAUCUCUCCAAUUCUGACCUUACAUAUCAACCUGUCUCCAUGUACCCUUCUAUAUCUGGUGCUGCUACUUUUUUUUCCUUACAUGGAUAUAUGUAUGAGAUUUCUUUGUUUAGGUAUAUUUGUGCCUGAAAGAAGUUUACAUCUAUUUUCUUGUUAGAUGAUCCUGAAUGAGAAUACUUAUGAGAUCGCAUGAAUGAGAUGUUGACGCCCUGUAUGCUCCAAAAUUGUAUCAUUCUUCCCACACAAUGGUUAGAAUCCCAGUUGUUGAAUCACAAUAGACAAGACCAUAUUUCCCAUUUUCUAUAGUCCAACUAAUAAUACAUAUUGAGCCUGGUGAUGGUUAUUGAUAUAUUGUGAUAGUAGUUUCCUGCAUUAAUUAGUUAAUGAGCCACCCUUUCGUUUUCAACUCAAAGUGCUGCAGCAGUUAAAUAGAUGUGUUCGUGCCAUUUAGCCCCAAAAUUUAGUUCAGUUCGGCUGUACAUCUAUUGCCGACCCCUUUUCUUAGUACUGAUUGACCUUUAUGUGUUAAUAUUUUUAUUGACUUCAUUUUUUCCUUUAGUCCUUCCUCUUGGUGUAUAUUCCUGAUUGUGUGAGUUCCUUUCCUGGUAUGGUAUUUAUGAUUCAGACCAUUCCAUAACAAAAUGCAUAUAUGGCCUCAUGCAUGUUUAUUGCUUGCCUGUGUAUCAUUGUGUUCUUAUCGGUUGUUUUCUGUGCGUUUCGUAGGAUGUGCGAUCUCUUCUGCCGCUACGUCUCCAUUCGACUCACCAAGGUUUGUUGUUCUCCUUUUUACAUGUGUGUGUAUUUUACUUUCACUAUCUGCUAUAUCAUGAUAUCUGCCUUCAUGAUCGUUUAAAUAUUAUUAUGGUGUCUGCCAUGCUGAUCGUUCAAAUAUUUUGGAUACGGCAGGGCAUUAUGUGGUGUUCUUCUCUUGCUACUUACAGUUCGUGUAUGCGUGUGAGCAGGAUCUAUGCACUUGUUUCCGUUGUUAUACUUGUUUUGGAGACUGAGGUAGCUCGGUGUGCUUUGCCGUCGCUUUCGUGUAUGUGUGAGGUUGUAGACAACGGUUCUGUUCUUGCUGGUGUAGAACUCGAGCUCCCAGGGGACGGUUCUACUCCAGUGCCAUAAAGAGAUUUUUUCUGAGCUCGGCUUUGUGUGGUUUUAUGAAUGGCUAUGAGUAGGCUGCUCUACAGGUCUUGCGUAUUUUGCAAGGUUUAUAUGGACUUUUCGUUCAUGACAAUAACUAUGAAUGUAUGAUGGCCUAUAGGAGAUCUUUCUGUCCAAGAACAUUGCGAUUUCUUUGAUUCCUACUAUGCUAUUUACUCAGUCUGCAGGCCAGCAUAUUAUUUAGAUUCUUUCUAACUACCUUACUUCGAAGCUCAGUACUGGUCUCCUUCAAGCUACAACCCCAAGGUAUGUCUUCUGAAACAGAGAACUAUAAUAUGCUUAUAACUACUUAAUUGCACUCAUGUUUGUGUUUCCUUUUGUACCAAAUCGCCGUGCCCUGCCGGCUAUGCUAUAUGCCCACAUAUUUACACAUGUCUCCCUCUUCACUGGUUUUCUUUCAUGCACCAGGCGAGCUCUGGUGGUCAAGCUGAUGCUUCUUCGCCUCCUGUUGAAGAAAAGGAUGAUAAGGAUGUCCGGGCUUGAGUGACCAGGAACAAGUGGUGCUGCUUUUUAUGCUGUCCAUCUAUAUAUGCAUCCCUUCAGUUUGUACAGACAAAACAAAUAUUCAUUUCUGACUAGAACAAAACUUGCAGUUAAGAAACUCUGCUGCUGGAAAGGGAGCUGGGGUACUAAACAGAAUAUAGAUUGAGCCUGCCAGUUCUUUUUAAUCCAAUGGCCUGUAUUUUUUGCAGCAAUCGUCUUUUAUGUCUGGUUCCCAAAGUUAUUAGUUAGCCUGCCUAUUUCUCGCCGUUUGAUAACCUAUAUUAUAACUAUAGAGAAUAUAGUUUGAGCCUGCCAGUUCUUCUGCCUUGGAUAUGAAAUAAUGAGGCAGUUUUAAUAUUUGUCGUAGAUUCACCUGAGUUUAUUUUAAACUACAGGAUGCAUCACUGAUGGAGAAAUACCUUACAGAAUGAUGCUGAGCCCCAUCUGGAUUGGAACCUUUUUGGAGCUGCUUAUGCUUGGUGCGGAGCGGGAAGCCUAUGAUAGCAACAGUAUUGGACUCCAUAGAACUGGAACUCUAUACCUUUCUUAUGUAGCUCUUCCUUUUGUUGUCUUCCCUAGAAGGGGAUGAUGUAGUUUUUCUGAAUUACAUGUCUCCGCUUUGUUCUACGGCAGAUGCUUCUACUCUAGAAUGGUAGCAACAAUACUGGACUCCACUGAGAACUAGAACACUAUACCUUUCUUGUGUAGCUCUUCCUUUCGUAGUCUCUGCUGGAAGGUGCAGAUGUAGUUUUCCAUUUGUUCUAUGACAGAUGCUUCUACACUGGAAUGGACCUUUUUGGAGAUUCAACAUGUUUCUGACUUGUACAA
Long non-coding RNA from Triticum aestivum (bread wheat), 5340 nucleotides. RefSeq lists it as uncharacterized. The transcript is spliced from 4 exons. The record is from RefSeq and is a predicted model, not a curated record. Lineage: Eukaryota; Viridiplantae; Streptophyta; Magnoliopsida; Poales; Poaceae.